CAAGCGUGAUAAAUCUCAGAGAAUGGAGAUCAAGAUGGCUCUGGAACUUCAGGGCGAGGGCAGUGAUGAGGACUACAACGUCGUCAAAGCCCUGAACCAUUUUGACUUCAGAGGACACCACUGCAUUGUCCUGGAGCUGUUGAAGGAGAGCCUCCAUGAUGUGAUUAAGGAAGCGGGGCUCCGGCAAUUGCACAUGGGAUGGUGAAAACUUACACCAGGGGCAUCCUCAAGUUCCUUUGCCACACCAAGGCCAGGAGCAUCAUCCAUGCGGACAUCAAGCCAGAAAAUGUUCUAAUCAAGGACACCGUGACCGGCACCAUCAGGGUCACGGACUUUGGCACCAGCUUUUUUGUGAAACGUCAACGUGAGUAACCUCACCUGGGUGUGAGUUUCUGCGUGUGGGUGUGUCUGUGUACCAGUGUGUGUGCAAGUCUCUUAGUGUCUGUACAUGUGACAGUGUGUGAUAACGAUGCUGUUCAUGAUAUAGUGAGUACACACAUACAUAUUUGUUGUUGUGAUUGUUGUGCAGCUCUGCAUGUUGGUGGUACCCUGCCAUUCCAAUCUCCGGAGGUAUUGCUGGGCUACAGAUUGACCUGUGCAGUGGACAUGUGGGCACUGGGCUGCCAGGUGGCGGAGUUGGUGACCGGCAGGGAAUUAUUCCAGUCGGACAGCCGCGACGACCACCUCCCGUGCUGCAUGGAGAUCCUCGGGUUGCCUCCAAGAUGUAUGAUGGAUGCAGCUCCUGACGGAAUACACUACUUUGAUCGUGUGGGCAUGAUGUUCUGCCCAGUCAAGAGAAGGGUGCCAGGGAGCUUGUCACUUCACGGGGCACUCAAUAGCCAAG
RNA transcript from Lethenteron reissneri (Far Eastern brook lamprey), 844 nucleotides. It is a transcript of the gene named dual specificity tyrosine-phosphorylation-regulated kinase 4-like, with no coding region annotated. The record is from RefSeq and is a predicted model, not a curated record. Lineage: Eukaryota; Metazoa; Chordata; Hyperoartia; Petromyzontiformes; Petromyzontidae.